GGUAGCUCAGUGGUAGAGCAUCUGACUUGUGUACAGAAGGUCCCAGUUCAAUUCCCAGCAUCUCCA
Molecule: non-coding RNA, 66 nt
Organism: Podarcis lilfordi (Lilford's wall lizard)
Lineage: Eukaryota; Metazoa; Chordata; Lepidosauria; Squamata; Lacertidae
Source: the annotation of a GenBank genome assembly